This 253-nucleotide ribosomal RNA is filed under the name uncultured bacterium. RNAcentral's name for it is "partial 16S ribosomal RNA". It matches the Rfam family "Bacterial small subunit ribosomal RNA", at positions 524 to 776 of the family's 1533-position model. The record is from RNAcentral.
UACGAAGGGGGCUAGCGUUGCUCGGAAUCACUGGGCGUAAAGCGCACGUAGGCGGAUUGCUAAGUCAGGGGUGAAAUCCUGGAGCUCAACUCCAGAACUGCCUUUGAUACUGGCAACCUUGAGUCCGGGAGAGGUGAGUGGAACUGCGAGUGUAGAGGUGAAAUUCGUAGAUAUUCGCAAGAACACCAGUGGCGAAGGCGGCUCACUGGCCCGGUACUGACGCUGAGGUGCGAAAGCGUGGUGAGCAAACAGG